AGUAGGUGGGGGUGUCACCCUCAAGGCCUCAUCGCUGUAGACUUCAUGGGCCACAACAUCGUGGGUCUGCAGUAGAGCCUGGUUGUAUGGACAGAAUAAGACCUGAUGAUGAUCCAAGUAUAAAAACAAUCUCCCAGCUCUACGACAGUUUAUCAAAAACCCUUCACUCUUUUUAACCUUUCCCCUUUGCUCUUUUUAUAUCAGAAUCCAUCUUAGCAGCUCACUGUUAAAAGUCUGCAGUUUGAGAGCAGAGGGACUAAUGGACUGACCCACACCUCGACUGUUACCACUGUCAACACUAAAGUCCUAACACGUGGCCCAUACCUACGUCUGCUUAGCUCCCGUCGUGUGUGACCAUGCCUGUCUGAGUUCUCACCAAGGCUCAGGUGUUAAGCAGCUUUGUGGUCAAAGGAGUAACAUCGGCUGAGAAUAACAUCUCUAACACAGUGGGUGCUGAUGUCACACCAUGAGGCAAGA
Molecule: long non-coding RNA, 477 nt
Organism: Cynoglossus semilaevis (tongue sole)
Lineage: Eukaryota; Metazoa; Chordata; Actinopteri; Pleuronectiformes; Cynoglossidae
Exons: 2
Source: RefSeq, a predicted model, not a curated record